UACAGAGGUGGCAAGCGUUGUUCGGAAUUACUGGGCGUAAAGGGCUCGUAGGCGGCCAACUAAGUCAGACGUGAAAUCCCUCGGCUUAACCGGGGAACUGCGUCUGAUACUGGAUGGCUGGAGGUUGGGAGAGGGAUGCGGAAUUCCAGGUGUAGCGGUGAAAUGCGUAGAUAUCUGGAGGAACACCGGUGGCGAAGGCGGCAUCCUGGACCAAUUCUGACGCUGAGGAGCGAAAGCCAGGGGAGCAAACGGG
This 253-nucleotide ribosomal RNA is filed under the name uncultured bacterium. RNAcentral's name for it is "partial 16S ribosomal RNA". It matches the Rfam family "Bacterial small subunit ribosomal RNA", at positions 524 to 776 of the family's 1533-position model. The record is from RNAcentral.